GGAAACGUGCCUGACAAAAAGGGUUGUCUUGAUAUGACAAA
This 41-nucleotide transfer RNA is filed under the name Uromastyx ornata philbyi. RNAcentral describes it as "partial tRNA-Ile". The record is from RNAcentral. Lineage: Eukaryota; Metazoa; Chordata; Lepidosauria; Squamata; Agamidae.